This 293-nucleotide ribosomal RNA is filed under the name Clostridioides difficile. RNAcentral's name for it is "partial 16S ribosomal RNA". It matches the Rfam family "Bacterial small subunit ribosomal RNA", at positions 729 to 1021 of the family's 1533-position model. Lineage: Bacteria; Bacillati; Bacillota; Clostridia; Peptostreptococcales; Peptostreptococcaceae. The record is from RNAcentral.
CUGGACUGUAACUGACGCUGAGGCACGAAAGCGUGGGGAGCAAACAGGAUUAGAUACCCUGGUAGUCCACGCUGUAAACGAUGAGUACUAGGUGUCGGGGGUUACCCCCUUCGGUGCCGCAGCUAACGCAUUAAGUACUCCGCCUGGGAAGUACGCUCGCAAGAGGGAAACUCAAAGGAAUUGACGGGGACCCGCACAAGUAGCGGAGCAUGUGGUUUAAUUCGAAGCAACGCGAAGAACCUUACCUAAGCUUGACAUCCCAAUGACAUCUCCUUAAUCGGAGAGUUCCCUUC